RNAcentral lists this unclassified non-coding RNA (292 nucleotides) under Hevea brasiliensis (rubber tree). Lineage: Eukaryota; Viridiplantae; Streptophyta; Magnoliopsida; Malpighiales; Euphorbiaceae. The record is from RNAcentral.
CUGGAGUGGGCACUAAUGCCAUUGGCUAUGAUCUUGCUCCUGGUUCAUCUUUUGCACGACAUAUGUCUGGGCAAGGAUUUGAUACUUGGAUUCUUGAAGUUCGAGGAGCAGGCUUGAGUGCAAGAAAUAGUGUAAAGGAUCCUCACCAAGGAAAAUUUGAAGGUAUAUCUGAAGAGCAACUUAGCUCAACUGAUGAAGGUCAGUAACAAUGGAUGACUUAUUGCUUAGCAUACAAAAUCAAUCAGGAAGAAAUGGUGAAACUGUAAAACACUUUUUAAAGGAGAAUGCAUGG